RNAcentral lists this long non-coding RNA (221 nucleotides) under Elaeis guineensis (African oil palm). RNAcentral describes it as "long non-coding RNA (EGUI_LNC047902)". Lineage: Eukaryota; Viridiplantae; Streptophyta; Magnoliopsida; Arecales; Arecaceae. The record is from RNAcentral.
CCCUCAACUUAAUAUUAUUAAAGAGGUUUGAUUUAGGUCUCUUCUACAUGUCAUAUAUAUCUUAUGUAAUUGACUAGUCUAGUUUAGGUCAGCACAUCUCAUGUCUGACUAAUCUAGUUUAAGUCAGCACAUCUCAUGUCUGAUUAAAUUAAUUUAGAUUAGCACAUCUCAUAUCUGAUCAAGCCUAGUUUAGAUCAGCAUAUCUUAUGUCUGUCCAACCU